This 315-nucleotide ribosomal RNA is filed under the name uncultured eukaryote. RNAcentral's name for it is "partial 18S ribosomal RNA". It matches the Rfam family "Eukaryotic small subunit ribosomal RNA", at positions 1470 to 1796 of the family's 1831-position model. The record is from RNAcentral.
CCCUUAGACGUUCUGGGCCGCACGCGCGCUACACUGACCAGUGCAACAAGCAUCCGUCCUUGGCCGACAGGCUCGGGCAAUCUUUGAACGCUGGUCGUGAUGGGGAUAGACUUUUGCAAUUUUUGGUCUUCAACGAGGAAUUCCUAGUAAACGCAAGUCAUCAACUUGCAUUGAUUACGUCCCUGCCCUUUGUACACACCGCCCGUCGCACCUACCGAUUGAAUGGUCCGGUGAAGCCUCCGGAUUGGCGCGCACCUCGGUGCCGCCGAGAAGUUGGCUAAACCUUAGCAUUUAGAGGAAGGUGAAGUCGUANCA